GACGAACGCUGGCGGCGUGCUUAACACAUGCAAGUCGAACGCUGAAGCUCAGCUUGCUGGGUGGAUGAGUGGCGAACGGGUGAGUAACACGUGAGUAACCUGCCCUCUUCUUUGGGAUAACGCCCGGAAACGGGUGCUAAUACUGGAUAUUCACUGAUUCUCGCAUGGGGGUUGGUGGCAAGGUUUUUUCUGGUGGGGGAUGGGCUCGCGGCCUAUCAGCUUGUUGGUGGGGUGAUGGCCUACCAAGGCUUUGACGGGUAGCCGGCCUGAGAGGGUGACCGGUCACAUUGGGACUGGGAUACGGCCCAGACUCCUACGGGAGGCAGCAGUGGGGAAUAUAGCACAAUGGGCGAAAGCCUGAUGCAGCGACGCCGCGUGAGGGAUGGAGGCCUUCGGGUUGUAAACCUCUUUCGCUCAUGGUCAAGCCGCAGCUUUGGGUUGUGGUGAGGGUAGUGGGUAAAGAAGCGCCGGCUAACUACGUG
RNAcentral lists this ribosomal RNA (482 nucleotides) under uncultured bacterium. RNAcentral's name for it is "partial 16S ribosomal RNA". It matches the Rfam family "Bacterial small subunit ribosomal RNA", at positions 28 to 507 of the family's 1533-position model. The record is from RNAcentral.